GCUAAGACUGGAUAGGAAGAUAAAAGGCAUCUUUUAUCUUUUAAAAGACCUAGUAAUAGGUAUGCUUUAGGAGGGGCUUGCGCCAUAUUAGUUAGUUGGUAGGGUAAUGGCCUACCAAGACGAUGAUGUGUAGCUGGACUGAGAGGUUGAACAGCCACAUUGGGACUGAGACACGGCCCAAACUCCUACGGGAGGCAGCAGUAGGGAAUUUUCGGCAAUGGAGGAAACUCUGACCGAGCAACGCCGCGUGAAUGACGAAGUACUUCGGUAUGUAAAGUUCUUUUAUCAAGGAAGAAAAGCAAAUGGCGAACCAUUUGUUUGCCGGUACUUGAUGAAUAAGCCCCGGCUAAUUAUGUGCCAGCAGCCGCGGUAAGACAUAAGGGGCAAGUGUUAUCCGGAAUUAUUGGGCGUAAAGGGUGCGUAGGCGGUCUAGUAAGUCAGUGGUGUAAUGGCAACGCUUAACGUUGUCCGGCUAUUGAAACUGCUAAACUUGAGUUAGAUAGAGGCGAGUGGAAUUCCAUGUGUAGCGGUAAAAUGCGUAAAUAUAUGGAGGAACACCAGAGGCGUAGGCGGCUCGCUGGGUCUUAACUGACGCUGAGGCACGAAAGCGUGGGGAGCAAACAGGAUUAGAUACCCUGGUAGUCCACGCCGUAAACGAUGAGUACUAAGUGUCGGGUUAAACCGGUACUGAAGUUAACACAUUAAGUACUCCGCCUGAGUAGUACGUACGCAAGUAUGAAACUUAAAGGAAUUGACGGGACUCCGCACAAGCGGUGGAUCAUGUUGUUUAAUUCGAAGAUACCCGAAAAACCUUACCAGGUCUUGACAUGUUUUUGCAAAAUGAUAGUAAUAUCGUGGAGGUUACCAGAAACACAGGUGGUGCAUGGUUGUCGUCAGCUCGUGUCGUGAGAUGUUUAGGUUAAGUCCUAAAACGAGCGAAACCCUUAUCGUUAGUUGCCAGCACGUUUAUGGUGGGGGACUUUAACGAGACUGCCAAUGAUAAAUUGGAGGAAGGUGAGGAUCACGUCAAAUCAGCAUGCCCCUUAUGACCUGGGCUACAAACGUGAUACAAUGGCUGUUACAAAGGGUAGCUGAAACGCAAGUUCUUGGCCAAUCCCCAAAAACAGUCCCAGUCCGGAUUGAAGUCUGCAACUCGACUUCAUGAAGUUGGAAUCGCUAGUAAUCGCGAAUCAGCAUGUCGCGGUGAAUACGUUCUCGGGGUUUGUACACACCGCCCGUCA
Molecule: ribosomal RNA, 1241 nt
Filed under: Alfalfa witches'-broom phytoplasma
Lineage: Bacteria; Bacillati; Mycoplasmatota; Mollicutes; Acholeplasmatales; Acholeplasmataceae
Description: bacterial SSU rRNA
Rfam family: Bacterial small subunit ribosomal RNA
Source: RNAcentral